GUAGAUAUAUUUUAACCACAAAAUUAGAUUGUGAUUCUAAACACAGAGGUUAGAGUCCUCUUAUCCACG
RNAcentral lists this transfer RNA (69 nucleotides) under Salmo salar (Atlantic salmon). It matches the Rfam family "tRNA". Rfam says of the family: Transfer RNA (tRNA) molecules are approximately 80 nucleotides in length. Their secondary structure includes four short double-helical elements and three loops (D, anti-codon, and T loops). Lineage: Eukaryota; Metazoa; Chordata; Actinopteri; Salmoniformes; Salmonidae. The record is from Rfam by way of RNAcentral.